RNAcentral lists this ribosomal RNA (428 nucleotides) under uncultured bacterium. RNAcentral describes it as "partial 16S ribosomal RNA". It matches the Rfam family "Bacterial small subunit ribosomal RNA", at positions 354 to 796 of the family's 1533-position model. The record is from RNAcentral.
GUAGGGAAUAUUGCGCAAUGGACGAAAGUCUGACGCAGCGACGCCGCGUGAGUGAUGAAGGCCUUAGGGUCGUAAAGCUCUGUUGAAUGGGAAGAAAAAAAUGACGGUACCAUUCGAGGAAGGACCGGCUAACUUCGUGCCAGCAGCCGCGGUAAUACGAGGGGUCCUAGCGUUGUUCGGAAUCAUUGGGCGUAAAGGGUGUGUAGGUGGACAUGUAAGUCAGGUGUGAAAGCCCCGGGCUCAACCCGGGAAGUGCACUUGAUACUGCGUGGCUUGAGUACCGAAGAGGGUAGUGGAAUUCCAGGUGUAGUGGUGAAAUACGUAGAUAUCUGGAGGAACACCGGUGGCGAAGGCGGCUACCUGGUCGAGUACUGACACUGAGACACGAAAGCAUGGGGAUCAAACAGGAUUAGAAACCCGUGUAGUCC